Molecule: RNA transcript, 2624 nt
Organism: Dreissena polymorpha
Lineage: Eukaryota; Metazoa; Mollusca; Bivalvia; Myida; Dreissenidae
Exons: 4
Source: RefSeq, a predicted model, not a curated record
UCGCUAUAAAUGGGGCUCUCAUAAAUAUUAUAAAGUUUAUCAAUGUAUUAUUUAAUAUCACUCAUGCAAAGUCGUAUAAUUUUAUGUUAUAACACACGAAAUAUAUAUCGAAACACGAAAUGCAUUCGGAAACGUCGGCAGUUUCCGAAUCGUGCCUUUCCAUUUUAUCAUAAUUAUGAUAAUGGCGCUUGGUUCGCCAGUUUAGAAAGACCUGUAAAUUGAUACAGUGUGCCGUAUUGACGAUGGCACAGCCAGGAAAUCGUGCGCCGUCCAUGGCUCUCUGGUUUAACGAUAAUGUGGAAGGAGAUAUUCUCAUGCAUGAUGUGUGUGUACCCAGGUCAGGCCUUACCAAGUACACGUAUUACUGCUGUCUGCAGGUAAUCAUAUCUGUGGAACGCUGGAAAGGAAGGAGGCGGUUACUGUGGGAUUCAGGACCACCCUGACGGACGUAACUUCAUAUUCUCCAUCUGGGACCCAUGCGACCCUAAACUGAAAUCCAAGAUUAAACCAGUCUAUGAGGGUCCCGGUACAAAGUGCGAACGCUUUGGAGGUGAGGGAGAGGGCUUAAAAACCUGGAACUUCUUUCUGGGAUGGGAACCCGACUGUUGGUAUACAACCAUGGUCAAACGCUGGGAUCACAGUGGCCACACACAGUUUGGCUUCUGGGUUAAGCAUCACGUGGAACAAACGUGGACCCAUAUGGUUACUCUGGACUACCCUGUCAAAAACGUGUAUUUCCAGAAUGCAACGGCCUGCUUUUUAGAAGACUGGGAAGGUAGCGGGGAAAAUGAGCGCCGUGUAAACUUUCGAAAUGGAUUCAAGCACACUCUAAAUGGCGAUUGGGUACCUUUCAGUAGAGCAGAUUUCCGCGUCGUGCGUGAGCUGUCCAGUAAAAAGUACGAGGACAAUUACAACUGCGGAGUCGAGGAUCGCACCUUCUUCAUGCAGUCCGGUGGAAAUACGGUAAAGUCGGCUUCGGCAGACGACAGAUGUAAGCUUCAGUGGACUAUGCCAUCGUAGCCUUGAGCAAACAUAUUAUGCUGAAGGAAGCUAUAUGGAUUCAAUAUUUAAUAUGUACAGCUUGUACAAUUUUUAUUUAGUCAAUUUGCCCAGAUAUAAGCACACCCAAAACAAUCAGAAAGCAUCGAAGUGUUAAAAUAUGGACACUAAUCAGGAAAAUCGUUUCCUAUAUUUUACUUGUCCUAAACUAUGCCUCUUGUAUCUCGGGCUUUGCCUGUUAGUUCAUUCAAGCUGUAUUUUCUGCUUCAUUGCUAGACAGAUUUCAAAAACUUUAAAAUAAUACCCGGGUGAACCUUAUUCAAAAUUAUUCCAAACUUUCUACUACACUGCUCAGUAUAUCUUGGAAUAUAACAUCAGAUAAUGAUAUUCUAAAACAUUAUUCAAAACAUGUCCGCAUAGUAACACCUGCUUACGCCAUAUGUUUAAAUUUUGAUCCUGAAAUUAUAUGUUUGGUAUAUUGUAUCGUAUUAUUAUGCCCCCCUUCGAAGAAGAGGGGGUAUAUUGUUUUGCACAUGUCGGUCGGUCGGUCAGUCGGUCCGUCAGUCCGUCCACCAGAUGGUUUGCGGAUGAUAAUUCAAGAACGCUUAGGCCUAGGAUCAUGAAACUUCAUAGGUACAUUGAUCAUGACUGGCAGAUGACCCCUAUUGAUUUUCAGGUCACUAAGUCAAAGGUCAAGGUCACAGUGACUAGAAAUAGUAAAAUGGUUUCCGGGUGAUGACUCAAGAAUGCUUUUGCCUAGGAUCAUGAACCUUCAUAGGUAAAUUGAUCAUGACUGGCAAAUGAAAUAUCUGUAAACAAAGUCCUUGAUGGUAAUGAUUGAAAACAUAAUAUGCAAUACAUCGAACAUAUAAGUCAUUGCAAUUGGUCAGGCUGACAAAAAGGGUGGUCCGGAUUCAUAUGAUACGGUUAUCAGAUUUCUCACCUACCUUCGAAAUGUGAUCCGAGUAAUAAUGAUAAGUCAACACUUUUCUCACGGUUGUUUACCAAAUAGUUGUUUUGACCUACAGCGUUUUUAAACGUGUAUAAAAAUUAACGUUUCACUUGUCCCUUGCUUUUAACUUUAUAAUGGUAAAUGUUAAAUGGCCAUUGUUCUGUGGCAAAUAUAUUUCGAUGAUUACUCUUCAAAUCUAAAAUGUUAAUUGGUCUGUUUUUGUGAAAAACAACCGCUUUAUGUAAAUGCUAGAAUAAAACAUCAUUUGUUUGUAUAUGUCAGUUUAAAUCAAAUGAAUUAUUUACAUAAUCAUAUGGGAUUAAAUGGUAUGUAUUACCCACCGUAAUGUAAAUAACAACUGACCAUUCCAACGAGUUAUAUACAGAAAUAUUAUGUUUACAAGUAUCGAGCAACUAAGUGCUAACACAAUACAUGAUUGAAGAUUUCAUUCUAAAAUACAUGCCUUGCACAAAGGUAAACUGUAAACAGCAAGUGAUUUAAUUUUAUCCUGAUACAAGUAAUAUAUAUAUUUAAAUAUGUUGAUGUCAUGUUUUAUAUGGUUUUUACAUUCGCACCACUAUUUCGUCUACAUUUGCAAUCUUACAUUUUCUUUAUAAGUUGUGUGUUGUGUGAUUAUUUAAAGAUUUAAUUAAUUAAAGUAUUACGAAAAGAA